CCAUCUCACCACGAACCCAUCAUUAGUAUUGAAUAAACUCAUAAACUAUGAGAAUUAUUAUGCUAGAACUAGUAACAAGAAAAUGAAUUUCUCCAAAGCGUAAGCAUAAGUCAACAUGGACCACCCACUGACACAUAACGGUGCUGAAUCAACUAUAGUAAAACACCUAGAAAACUCUAUACCCCCCACCAUGCCGUUAACCUUACACAAGAACCCUUCUGGAAAGAUUAAAAGGAAGAGAAGGAACUCGGCAAAUAUUGGCCCCGCCUGUUUACCAAAAACAUCGCCUCUUGAUUAAAUAUAAGAGGUCCAGCCUGCCCAGUGUUCUAUAUCAACGGCCGCGUGAUUUAAGCGCGCGAAGGUAGCAUAAUAAUUUGUCCUUUAAAUGUGGACUAGUAUCAACGGCACCACGAGGGCCAUACUGUCUCCUCCCCCCAAUCAGUGAAACUAAUCUCCCUGUGAAAAAGCAGGGGUAAAACUAUAAGACGAGAAGACCCCAUGGAGCUUAAAACACAGCAUUAAUUCUAAUAACACCAUCAGUACAAUUUUAAAUAAUACAUGCUAGUUUUAGGUUGGGGUGACCGCGGAGUAAAACAAAACCUCCACAACGAAUAAGAGAUUAUCUCCUUAUCCAAGAGGCACUUCUCUAAGAAUUAUCUAAUAUAACGUCUAAUGACCCGACUAUCGAUCAACGGACCAAGUUACCCUGGGGAUAACAGCGCAAUCCGCUUUGAAAGCUCCUAUCGACAAGCGGGCUUACGACCUCGAUGUUGGAUCAGGGUAUCCCAGUGGUGCAGCCGCUACUAAAGG
RNAcentral lists this ribosomal RNA (810 nucleotides) under Occidozyga cf. laevis FMNH 234895. Its description in RNAcentral is "partial large subunit ribosomal RNA". It matches the Rfam family "Bacterial large subunit ribosomal RNA", at positions 1236 to 2571 of the family's 2925-position model. Lineage: Eukaryota; Metazoa; Chordata; Amphibia; Anura; Dicroglossidae. The record is from RNAcentral.